RNA transcript from Sorghum bicolor (sorghum), 1266 nucleotides. It is a transcript of the gene named formin-like protein 8, with no coding region annotated. The transcript has 4 exons. The record is from RefSeq and is a predicted model, not a curated record. NCBI's taxonomy places the organism in Eukaryota, Viridiplantae, Streptophyta, Magnoliopsida, Poales, Poaceae.
GAAACCACGCGACGAUUUUCCCUGCCACAAUCUGUCGCGCUCUUUGGAAGCACACCCACGCGGGGACAGCAGCCCGUUUCCCUUCAUUUUCCACGCGGAAGAAAUCCAGGAGUCAUGCGGCCGGGAGCGUUUCCUCUUCCCUGACCCCGUCGCUCGCUCGACGACUCACGAGGGGGCGGCCGCCGCCGCCACCGUCGCCAUCACCCCGGCGGCUCAUGGUCGACGCAUCGCUCUUGUCGUGCAUCUCCCGGUGGCCGGCAACUGGUGUGCAUCUCCUGGUUCCCGGCGAUGCAUCUCUCGCGAAUCGCGAUCGUGCCGCCACCGCCGCAAGAUCCACAUCUCGGAGCAGCACCUCCACCUCCACCUCAGCCCCGUCCUCCUAGCAGGGCAAAAUCUCGUAGAUCUUGGGGUGACCGAGCUGCCGUAUCCUCCUCCAUACUCCAGCAUCCAUGGAGAAGCGUCGUGCCACCGAGCCUAUCUCCAUACCUCACUCAGCCGAAGCGUGUGCCAGUAAUUGAUGCUGGAGAUGGCGUGCAUGUGUCUUCAGGUGCAUCAACAAAUGCCGUUGCUGAAGAUGAAGGAGCAGGGUCACCGGAAUUCUGCUCACUGCAACUUUGUCGCUGAAGACAUCUAGCUGACAAUUGACAUCUGUAGAGGUAUUUUGCCGCAGCAGAGUUUGAACCAUUUCGGUCAGCUCUUGCUAGCCCCUAUAGAGGUAUUUUGCUGCACUAGAGUUCAGUUUGGUUCAGUUUUAAUGCUUAUAAUUAAUAAAUAUACUACAUUUGCUAAUAGCUCUCUCUAAAAUGUCUAUAAUCAGGUUUGCUAAUAGCUCUCUCUAGAACAGAAUGAUAUAUGUGUAGUAUGUCUUAGCCUUCUAUAUCUUGUGAUAGAGAGGACCAGUGGAAGCAACACAUGAUCAGAGAAAAGUGAAGUGGCCUUCAUAAUUAGCAUCUGAGAAACGUUCAAGAUCAUAGAUAGAUUUUGCUCUUCAUGUCUAUCAUUUUUUAUAUACAUGCACCUACUAUUUGUCCAUUUUUUAUCCUGCUGUUGUCUAUGUAAUAUAUUGGUGUGAGCUGGAGGGCUAAUUUAAAUAUUGGUGCAGAUUUUAGCUUUCAGUUCAUAUAACCUAGUUUAUGUCUGUGUAUUGGAUGUAAAGCAUGGAAACCAUCUGUAUCCAUGCUAGCUAUUACUGAUACUAUAACCUGGUUGACAUGAUUUUAGACUUGAAUUAUGUAUUUGUAUAGAGACUUAGUCCUGAGUUUUUCC